Molecule: non-coding RNA, 26 nt
Filed under: Cricetulus griseus (Chinese hamster)
Lineage: Eukaryota; Metazoa; Chordata; Mammalia; Rodentia; Cricetidae
Source: RNAcentral
AAAAUGACAAAUGUUUUAACUCCAGG